GAUGAACGCUGGCGGCGUGCCUAAUACAUGCAAGUCGAGCGAACAGACGAGGAGCUUGCUCCUCUGACGUUAGCGGCGGACGGGUGAGUAACACGUGGAUAACCUACCUAUAAGACUGGGAUAACUUCGGGAAACCGGAGCUAAUACCGGAUAAUAUAUUGAACCGCAUGGUUCAAUAGUGAAAGACGGUUUUGCUGUCACUUAUAGAUGGAUCCGCGCCGCAUUAGCUAGUUGGUAAGGUAACGGCUUACCAAGGCGACGAUGCGUAGCCGACCUGAGAGGGUGAUCGGCCACACUGGAACUGAGACACGGUCCAGACUCCUACGGGAGGCAGCAGUGGGAAUCUUCCGCAAUGGGCGAAAGCCUGACGGAGCAACGCCGCGUGAGUGAUGAAGGUCUUCGGAUCGUAAAACUCUGUUAUUAGGGAAGAACAAAUGUGUAAGUAACUAUGCACGUCAUGACGGUACCUAAUCAGAAAGCCACGGCUAACUACGUG
This 496-nucleotide ribosomal RNA is filed under the name uncultured bacterium. RNAcentral describes it as "partial 16S ribosomal RNA". It matches the Rfam family "Bacterial small subunit ribosomal RNA", at positions 28 to 507 of the family's 1533-position model. The record is from RNAcentral.